RNAcentral lists this ribosomal RNA (292 nucleotides) under uncultured bacterium. RNAcentral describes it as "partial 16S ribosomal RNA". It matches the Rfam family "Bacterial small subunit ribosomal RNA", at positions 505 to 796 of the family's 1533-position model. The record is from RNAcentral.
GUGUCAGUCGCCGCGGUAAGACGUAGGGCGCAAGCGUUGUCCGGAUUUAUUGGGCGUAAAGAGCUCGUAGGCGGCUUGUUGCGUCGACCGUGAAAACCCGCGGCUCAACUGCGGGCUUGCGGUCGAUACGGGCAGGCUGGAGUUCGGUAGGGGAGACUGGAAUUCCUGGUGUAGCGGUGAAAUGCGCAGAGAUCAGGAGGAACACCCGUAGCGAAGGCGGCACUCUGGGCCGAUACUGACGCUGAGGAGCGAAAGCGUGGGGAGCGAACAGGAUUAGAAACCCCUGUAGUCC